RNAcentral lists this ribosomal RNA (86 nucleotides) under Alteromonas sp. Lineage: Bacteria; Pseudomonadati; Pseudomonadota; Gammaproteobacteria; Alteromonadales; Alteromonadaceae. The record is from RNAcentral.
GAUCCCAUUCCGAACUCAGAAGUGAAACGUAUUAGCGGCGAUGGUAGUGUGGGGUUUCCCCAUGUGAGAGUAGCACACUGCCAGGU